Molecule: ribosomal RNA, 445 nt
Filed under: uncultured bacterium
Lineage: Bacteria
Description: partial 16S ribosomal RNA
Rfam family: Bacterial small subunit ribosomal RNA
Source: RNAcentral
GUAAGGAAUAUUGGUCAAUGGAGGCAACUCUGAACCAGCCAUGCCGCGUGCAGGAAGACGGCCCUCUGGGUUGUAAACUGCUUUUAUCCGGGAAUAAACCUGCCUUCGUGAAGGUAGCUGAAUGUACCGGAAGAAUAAGGAUCGGCUAACUCCGUGCCAGCAGCCGCGGUAAUACGGAGGAUCCAAGCGUUAUCCGGAUUUAUUGGGUUUAAAGGGUACGUAGGCGGUUAAUUAAGUCAGUAGUGAAAGACUGUCGCUCAACGACGGAUGUGCUAUUGAUACUGGUUAACUUGAAUCAGGUUAGAGUUGGCGGAAUGGGUCAUGUAGCGGUGAAAUGCUUAGAUAUGACUUGGAACACCGAUAGCGAAGGCAGCUGACUGAGCCUUGAUUGACGCUGAGGUACGAAAGUGUGGGUAGCGAACAGGAUUAGAUACCCGAGUAGUCC